AUUUCAGACUGUGGUCAAUCUGAUUGAUCGUCGAGAACACGAAACCCGAGAAAACAAGCGGCUGCUGGAGAAAUCACAGAGAAUUGAGGCCAUCAUGGCAUCGAUGCAGGCGACUGGAGCAGAGGAACAGCAGCUCCAGGAGAUUGAGGAGAUGAUCACAGCUCCCGAGCAGCAGCAGCUGGAGACACUGAAACACAAUGUCAACAUGUUGGAUUCAAGUGAGAAUCAGGUGGACGAGACAAUAUUUAUACUGGAAUCCUACAUAGACUCUACUCACGUUGAGAAAGAGAUACCAAACAAACGGUGAGCUGGAGGAUCUGAGGAUCAGUGUGUUGGAGACCAGCUACCUUUCCCCAGUAAUGUGAGACUGUCUCACUGAGACAGUCACGUGAGAUGCUGGGCACUGAGUUGACGAUGUAAUGUGUGAGACUGUCUCACUGAGACAGUCACGUGAGAUGCUGAGCAGUGAGUUGACGAUGCGGCAGUUCACUAAUGGAGAAGAGAGUUUUAAGAGCUGCCUGUGGAAAUCCCAGCGCUCUGUGUUGUAGCUUUUAUGUUUGUCAAAUUAUGUUAAUUUAAUAAAUGUCGCAGUGUCUUGAA
This is a long non-coding RNA of Carcharodon carcharias (great white shark), 600 nucleotides long. RefSeq lists it as uncharacterized. Lineage: Eukaryota; Metazoa; Chordata; Chondrichthyes; Lamniformes; Lamnidae. The record is from RefSeq and is a predicted model, not a curated record. The transcript has 3 exons.